AGUUGGUGAUGAUAAAUGUUCUUGAUGGGAGAACAUCUAUAUAUACAUGAGGAUUUUGGUCCCUUGGCUCAAUCAUCUCUUUGAAGCGAAAGGCUUUCCUACACCAUCUAAAGCGAGAGUUCUGAGCUGAGAAGAACCAAAGUUCAAGAAGAAACCUCUGCAGAAAUUCUUGGCGACAAUGGCUGGAGGUACGCUAUUUCGUUUCCGCAUUAGUUUUAUUGUGUUUCUAUUACAAUGAUUUAGAAACACAAGUUGGC
This 257-nucleotide long non-coding RNA is filed under the name Musa acuminata (dwarf banana). RNAcentral's name for it is "long non-coding RNA (MACU_LNC009313)". Lineage: Eukaryota; Viridiplantae; Streptophyta; Magnoliopsida; Zingiberales; Musaceae. The record is from RNAcentral.